Molecule: ribosomal RNA, 440 nt
Filed under: uncultured bacterium
Lineage: Bacteria
Description: partial 16S ribosomal RNA
Rfam family: Bacterial small subunit ribosomal RNA
Source: RNAcentral
CCUACGGGGGGCAGCAGUGGGGGAUAUUGCACAAUGGGGGAAACCCUGAUGCAGCGACGCCGCGUGUGGGAAGACGGUCCUCUGGAUUGUAAACCACUGUCCCCAGGGACGAAGAUGACGGUACCUGGGGAGGAAGCUCCGGCUAACUACGUGCCAGCAGCCGCGGUAAUACGUAGGGAGCGAGCGUUGUCCGGAAUUACGGGGUGAAAAGGGAGCGUAGGCGGGACUGCAAGUUGGGUGUCAAAUCUACCGGCUCAACCGGUCGCCGCACUCAAAACUGCAGUUCUUGAGUGAAGUAGAGGCAGGCGGAAUUCCUAGUGUAGCGGUGAAAUGCGUAGAUAUUAGGAGGAACACCAGUGGCGAAGGCGGCCUGCUGGGCUUUUACUGACGCUGAGGCUCGAAAGUGUGGGGAGCAAACAGGAUUAGAUACCCCGGUAGUC